This 491-nucleotide ribosomal RNA is filed under the name uncultured bacterium. Its description in RNAcentral is "bacterial SSU rRNA". It matches the Rfam family "Bacterial small subunit ribosomal RNA", at positions 28 to 507 of the family's 1533-position model. The record is from RNAcentral.
GACGAACGCUGGCGGCGUGCCUAACACAUGCAAGUCGAGGGGCAGCAUGACGAUAGCUUGCUAUUGUCGAUGGCGACCGGCGCACGGGUGAGUAACGCGUAUCCAACCUUCCCGUUGCUAGGGGAUAACCUUGCGAAAGUAAGACUAAUACCCUAUGAAGUUCUUCGCAGGCAUCUAAAGAGAACGAAAGAUUUAUCGGCAACGGAUGGGGAUGCGUCUGAUUAGGUUGUUGGCGGGGUAACGGCCCACCAAGCCCACGAUCAGUAGGGGUUCUGAGAGGAAGGUCCCCCCACAUUGGAACUGAGACACGGUCCAAACUCCUACGGGAGGCAGCAGUGAGGAAUAUUGGUCAAUGGACGAGAGUCUGAACCAGCCAAGUAGCGUGCAGGACGACGGCCCUAUGGGUUGUAAACUGCUUUUAUACGGGAAUAAAGUGGGCCACGCGUGGUCUUUUGCAUGUACCGUAUGAAUAAGGACCGGCUAAUUCCGUA